GGCCCGUGGGCGGCAUGCCUACACAUGCAAGUCGAACGAGACCUUCGGGUCUAGUGGCGCACGGGUGCGUAACGCGUGGGAACCUGCCCUUAGGUUCGGAAUAACUCAGAGAAAUUUGAGCUAAUACCGGAUAAUGUCUUCGGACCAAAGAUUUAUCGCCUUUGGAUGGGCCCGCGUUGGAUUAGCUAGUUGGUGGGGUAAAGGCCUACCAAGGCGACGAUCCAUAGCUGGUCUGAGAGGAUGAUCAGCCACACUGGGACUGAGACACGGCCCAGACUCCUACGGGAGGCAGCAGUGGGGAAUAUUGGACAAUGGGCGAAAGCCUGAUCCAGCAAUGCCGCGUGAGUGAUGAAGGCCUUAGGGUUGUAAAGCUCUUUUACCAGGGAUGAUAAUGACAGUACCUGGAGAAUAAGCUCCGGCUAACUCCGUGCCAGCAGCCGCGGUAAUACGGAGGGAGCUAGCGUUGUUCGGAAUUACUGGGCGUAAAGCGCACGUAGGCGGCUUUUUAAGUCAGGGGUGAAAUCCCGGGGCUCAACCCCCGGAACUGCCCUUUGAAACUGGAAAGCUAGAAUCUUGGAGAGGGCGAGUGGAAUUUCCGAGUGUAGAGGUGAAAUUCGUAGAUAUUCGGAAGAACACCAGUGGCGAAAGCGACUCGCUGGACAAGUAUUGACGCUGAGUGCGAAAGCGUGGGGAGCAAACAGGAUUAGAUACCCUGGUAGUCCACGCCGUAACGAUGAUAACUAGCUGUCCCGGGUUUCAUGGAAACUUGGUGGCGCAGCUAACGCAUUAAAGUUAUCCGCCCUGGGGGAGUACGUCGGCAGAUUUAAACUCAAGAAUGACGGGGUCUUGCACAGCGUGGGAGCAUGUGGUUUAAUUCGGAGCCACGUCGCAGAUCAUAACAGCGUUGGACAUCUUAGAACGACUCUGGAGACCGAAUUUCAUCCGUCCGGGACUACUGAACGGUACUGCAUGGCUAUCGUCAGACUCAUGAUACAAU
Molecule: ribosomal RNA, 997 nt
Filed under: Alphaproteobacteria bacterium
Lineage: Bacteria; Pseudomonadati; Pseudomonadota; Alphaproteobacteria
Description: bacterial SSU rRNA
Rfam family: Bacterial small subunit ribosomal RNA
Source: RNAcentral